Molecule: non-coding RNA, 1246 nt
Organism: Rattus norvegicus (Norway rat)
Lineage: Eukaryota; Metazoa; Chordata; Mammalia; Rodentia; Muridae
Source: RefSeq, a predicted model, not a curated record
CCUGAUGUUAGAGAUGCUGUAGCCACGGGAGACCUGAUGAGAAAAGGUGCAAACAGGAGAUGAAACCAGCCCAAGAGAAAGAAGAAUGUUACAGUCAACAAAGCUCAAAGGAGCUGGAGAGCUAACAUCAGACAUGAGGGUGCAGAGCUUGGUGUUUGCCCAGCUGGUUUUCCAUCUUGCUUUGGUCCAGUGUUUCCUCACUGUGCUCCCUUUUGGAAUGGCAGUGUAGAUCCUGUGCCAUGAUAUGUUGGAAGUAUGUGAAGUUUUUGAUUUUGAUUCAACAGGGGAGUACAGUUAAGAGAUCGUACAACUCUCGGAAGACAAUCUUGAAUUUUGGACUUUUAAGCAAGUUUGAGAUUUUAUAGACUAUGGCGACUUUUGAAGUUGUACUGAAUGCUGCUUUGCGUUAAGAUCUGACCAAAAGCCUAUGGGGUCCAGGCAGUGGAAUGUGAUGGUUUGAAUAGGAAUGCCCCACCCUCAUUGACUCCAUGAUGAUAAUGGCUGAACCUCUGAAAUGAUAAGUAUAGACCCCGCCGCCCAUGAAAAAGACUUCUCUAUGCAACAGAUAGAGACCACUGCCGAGAACCACCUCAAUCAAGCACAGAGCCGUGGAGCCCAGCAGAUUCCCCUACAACAUGACUUCUGUAACCUAAGUCUUGGGAAUCACUGCAGAAGACGGGAAGAUUGUAACAGCCGGGAGAUUAGGGUGUUUGCUGUGAGAUGGAGUCCCCAGGAAUGUAGGAAGUACAAGCCUAAAAUCUUAAAAAGAUUUCACAUGAUUCCGUCCAGCAAACUGCAACUGUGAGUCCAACGUGGAAACACGACGGAAAGAGGACCAUGAAUGCAAAUUUACUACUAAAAUGGAAAUAAAGCAGGAACCGUGACUAAGACAGGAGUCUAGCAUGGCUGUCCUCUGAGAAGCCCUACCAGCAUCUCACUGAGAAAGAUGCAGAUACUUACAACCAAACACUGGACCCCUAAGGAAGAGUUAGGGGAGGACUGAAGGAGCUGAAGGGGAUGGCAACACCACAGGAAGACCAACAGAGUCAACUAUCCUGGACCCCUGGGAGCUCCCAGAGACUAAGUCACCAACCAAAGAGCAUACAGGGGCUGGUCCCAGGCCUCCCCCGCCCCCCCACUCCCCUGGCACACAUAUGCAUAAGGGGAAUACCUUGAAUGCCUUGUCUGGCCUCAGUAGAAGAGGAUGUGACAAAUCCUGAAGAGAUUUGAUGCCCCGGGGAAGGGG